This 74-nucleotide transfer RNA is filed under the name Chloroflexota bacterium. RNAcentral's name for it is "Chloroflexi bacterium tRNA-Val". It matches the Rfam family "tRNA". From Rfam's summary of the family: Transfer RNA (tRNA) molecules are approximately 80 nucleotides in length. Their secondary structure includes four short double-helical elements and three loops (D, anti-codon, and T loops). Lineage: Bacteria; Bacillati; Chloroflexota. The record is from RNAcentral. RNAcentral also lists the same sequence under 2 other names.
GGGUGCUUAGCUCAGUUGGUUAGAGCACUUCGUUUACACCGAAGGUGUCGGGGGUUCGAGUCCCUCAGCGCCCA